Molecule: ribosomal RNA, 236 nt
Filed under: uncultured Chromatiaceae bacterium
Lineage: Bacteria; Pseudomonadati; Pseudomonadota; Gammaproteobacteria; Chromatiales; Chromatiaceae
Description: partial 16S ribosomal RNA
Rfam family: Bacterial small subunit ribosomal RNA
Source: RNAcentral
GCUGGCGGCAUGCCUAACACACGCAAGUCGAACGCGAAAGCCCUUCGGGGUGAGUAGAGUGGCGGACGGGUGAGUAACGCGUGGGAAUCUGCCCUGUAGUGGGGAACAACCCGGGGAAACUCGGGCUAAUACCGCAUACGUCUUACGGGAGAAAGGGGGCUUCGGCUCUCGCUACAGGAUGAGCCCGCGUCCGAUUAGCUAGUUGGUGGGGUAAAGGCCUACCAAGGCGACGAUCG